RNAcentral lists this transfer RNA (67 nucleotides) under Bemisia tabaci. RNAcentral describes it as "tRNA-Lys". Lineage: Eukaryota; Metazoa; Arthropoda; Insecta; Hemiptera; Aleyrodidae. The record is from RNAcentral. RNAcentral also lists the same sequence under 1 other name.
CAUUAAAAAGCUUAAAGUAAGUGUUGAUCUUUUAAAUCAAUAAUGAUAAACCGCCUAUCUUUAAUGG